Molecule: ribosomal RNA, 253 nt
Filed under: uncultured bacterium
Lineage: Bacteria
Description: partial 16S ribosomal RNA
Rfam family: Bacterial small subunit ribosomal RNA
Source: RNAcentral
UACGUAGGGGGCAAGCGUUGUCCGGAAUUACUGGGCGUAAAGCGCGUGUAGGCGGGACGGCAAGUCUGGCGUGAAAGGCUCGGGCUCAACCCGAGAUGGCCGCUGGAAACUGCCGUUCUUGAGGGUCGAAGAGGAGAGUGGAAUUCCUGGUGUAGCGGUGAAAUGCGCAGAUAUCAGGAAGAACACCCGUGGCUAAGGCGGCUCUCUAGUACGGUACUGACGCUGAGACGCGAAAGCGUGGGGAGCGAACAGG